This 730-nucleotide ribosomal RNA is filed under the name Loigolactobacillus coryniformis. Its description in RNAcentral is "bacterial SSU rRNA". It matches the Rfam family "Bacterial small subunit ribosomal RNA", at positions 56 to 750 of the family's 1533-position model. The record is from RNAcentral. Lineage: Bacteria; Bacillati; Bacillota; Bacilli; Lactobacillales; Lactobacillaceae.
UGCAAGUCGAACGCACUGACGUCGACCGAAGCUGCUUGCAGUGGACGUUGAUUGACGUGAGUGGCGGACGGGUGAGUAACACGUGGGUAACCUACCCUUAAGUGGGGGAUAACAUUUGGAAACAGAUGCUAAUACCGCAUAACCAUUCAGACCACAUGGUCUGAAUGUAAAAGACGGCCUUUGGCUGUCACUUUUGGACGGACCCGCGGCGUAUUAGUUAGUUGGUAAGGUAACGGCUUACCAAGACAAUGAUACGUAGCCGACCUGAGAGGGUAAUCGGCCACAUUGGGACUGAGACACGGCCCAAACUCCUACGGGAGGCAGCAGUAGGGAAUCUUCCACAAUGGACGAAAGUCUGAUGGAGCAACGCCGCGUGAGUGAAGAAGGUUUUAGGAUCGUAAAACUCUGUUGUUGGAGAAGAACAGGGACUAGAGUAACUGUUAGUCCUUUGACGGUAUCCAACCAGAAAGCCACGGCUAACUACGUGCCAGCAGCCGCGGUAAUACGUAGGUGGCAAGCGUUGUCCGGAUUUAUUGGGCGUAAAGCGAGCGCAGGCGGUUUUUUAAGUCUGAUGUGAAAGCCUUCGGCUUAACCGAAGAAGUGCAUUAGAAACUGGGAAACUUGAGUGCAGAAGAGGACAGUGGAACUCCAUGUGUAGCGGUGAAAUGCGUAGAUAUAUGGAAGAACACCAGUGGCGAAGGCGGCUGUCUGGUCUGUAACUGACGCUGAG